This 230-nucleotide unclassified non-coding RNA is filed under the name plant metagenome. RNAcentral's name for it is "partial contains small subunit ribosomal RNA, internal transcribed spacer 1, and 5.8S ribosomal RNA". The record is from RNAcentral.
UUUCCGUAGGUGAACCUGCGGAAGGAUCAUUACAGAGUUCAUGCCCCUCAGGGUAGACCUCCACCCUUGCAUACCCUUACCUUUGUUGCUUUGGCGGUCCGCUUCACCUCGUGUGAGGCCACCGGUCCCGACUGGUGCGUGACCGCCAAAGGAUACCCAACUCUUGAAUAUACGUCGUCUGAGUACUAUACAAAUAGUUAAAACUUUCAACAACGGAUCUCUUGGUUCUG